UAGAGCGCGUGAGUGGUGCUUGGUGUGUGCGGGUAUGUCGGAUCCUUGCUUUGGGCAACGACGGCAUCUCCCAACGCCUCCUCAGUGGUGGGAACAAGCUCGUUGUGCUUGUCCGCGGUCGGUUUUCCUGUGUUGCAUACCAAUUGUGACGGCAUUCGGUUGGCUAAAACGGUCCCAUCUCCGCCGUGCGUCGGCGCUCCCCGCGAGCGUUCGAUGUGUGGUGGAUCUCACGGCUCGCGUCGUGUAUCGCGCCGCAUUCACCUCACUCGGUGUUUGGGUAGGCGACCCAUGACGUGAUGCCCGUUGUCUCGGGUGCGGAACAUCGGGUGGGUUCGAGGCAUUGUCCUUUGAUCGCCACACAAAUGCGUUCUACGAACGACGGCCGGACUCGAUCUCUGGCGGGGCACUCGUGCUCGGUUGGAAUCGUGCCGGCGUCGGUGAGGGAUGC
Molecule: unclassified non-coding RNA, 448 nt
Filed under: Hyptis brevipes
Lineage: Eukaryota; Viridiplantae; Streptophyta; Magnoliopsida; Lamiales; Lamiaceae
Description: partial external transcribed spacer
Source: RNAcentral